Molecule: ribosomal RNA, 490 nt
Filed under: uncultured bacterium
Lineage: Bacteria
Description: partial 16S ribosomal RNA
Rfam family: Bacterial small subunit ribosomal RNA
Source: RNAcentral
AUUGAACGCUGGCGGCAGGCCUAACACAUGCAAGUCGAACGGUAACAGGAAGACGCUUGCUUCUUUGCUGACGAGUGGCGGACGGGUGAGUAAUGUCUGGGAAACUGCCUGAUGGAGGGGGAUAACUACUGGAAACGGUAUCUAAUACCGCAUAACGUCGCAAGACCAAAGAGGGGGACCUUCGGGCCUCUUGCCAUCGGAUGUGCCCAGAUGGGAUUAGCUAGUAGGUGGGGUAACGGCUCACCUAGGCGACGAUCCCUAGCUGGUCUGAGAGGAUGACCAGCCACACUGGAACUGAGACACGGUCCAGACUCCUACGGGAGGCAGCAGUGGGGAAUAUUGCACAAUGGGCGCAAGCCUGAUGCAGCCAUGCCGCGUGUAUGAAGAAGGCCUUCGGGUUGUAAAGUACUUUCAGCGGGGAGGAAGGGAGUAAAGUUAAUACCUUGACUCAUUGACGUUACCCGCAGAAGAAGCACCGGCUAACUCCGUG